GAUGAAGAACGCAGCGAAAUGCGAUAAGUAAUGUGAAUUGCAGAAUUCAGUGAAUCAUCGAAUCUUUGAACGCACAUUGCGCCCUCUGGUAUUCCGGGGGGCAUGCCUGUUCGAGCGUCAUUAUAACCACUCAAGCUCUCGCUUGGUAUUGGAGUUCGCGAUCUCGCGGCUCCUAAAAUCAGUGGCGGUGCCUGUCGGCUCUACGCGUAGAAUACUCCUCGCGAUUGAGUCCGGUAGGUUUACUUGCCAGCAACCCCCAAUUUUUACAGGUUGACCUCGGAUCAGGUAGGGAUACCCGCUGAACUUAAGCAUAUCAAUAAGCGGAGGA
Molecule: unclassified non-coding RNA, 328 nt
Filed under: soil metagenome
Description: partial contains 5.8S ribosomal RNA, internal transcribed spacer 2, and large subunit ribosomal RNA
Rfam family: 5.8S ribosomal RNA (bases 1-120)
Source: RNAcentral